Molecule: ribosomal RNA, 254 nt
Filed under: uncultured bacterium
Lineage: Bacteria
Description: partial 16S ribosomal RNA
Rfam family: Bacterial small subunit ribosomal RNA
Source: RNAcentral
UACGUAGGGAGCAAGCGUUGUCCGGAUUUAUUGGGCGUAAAGAGCUCGUAGGCGGCUUAGCAAGUCGGGUGUGAAACCUCCAGGCUCAACCUGGAGACGCCACUCGAUACUGCUAUGGCUUGAGUUCGGUAGGGGACCAUGGAAUUCCUGGUGUAGCGGUGAAAUGCGCAGAUAUCAGGAGGAACCCCGAUGGCGAAGGCAGUGGUCUGGGCCGAUACUGACGCUGAGGAGCGAAAGCGUGGGGAGCGAACAGG